UGUUGCGGUUAAAAAGCUCGUAGUUGGAUUUCUGUUGAGACUGGUCGGUCCCCGCUUUGCGAGAGUAUCUGAUCCGGCCUCGGCAUCCUCGCUGGAAACGCUACUACGCUUGAGUGCGUGGCGCGGCUUCGGCGGCCUUUACUUUGAGGGAUUUAGAGUGUUCACGGUAGGCAUGUGCCUUGUAUAAGUUAGCAUGGAAUAAUAGUAGAGGACUUGGGUUCUAUUUUGUUGGUUUCUAGAACUAGAGUAAUGGUUAAGAGGGAUAAUUGGGGGCAUUUGUAUUAACCUGUCAGAGGUGGAAUUCUUGGAUUAGGUUACGACGCACUACUGCGAAAGCAUUUGCCAUGGAUGUUUUCAUUGAUCAAGAACGAAAGUAUGGGGAUCGAAGAUGAUUAGAUACCGUCGUAGUCUAUACCAUAAACCAUGCCGACUAGGGAUAGAAGGUCGUUGUUUUACCGACCCUUUCUGCACCUUAGGAGAAAUUAAAGUCUUUGGGUUCCGGGGGGAGUAUGGUCGCAAGGCUGAAACUUA
This 531-nucleotide ribosomal RNA is filed under the name uncultured marine eukaryote. RNAcentral describes it as "bacterial SSU rRNA". It matches the Rfam family "Eukaryotic small subunit ribosomal RNA", at positions 611 to 1146 of the family's 1831-position model. The record is from RNAcentral.